This 405-nucleotide ribosomal RNA is filed under the name uncultured bacterium. RNAcentral describes it as "partial 16S ribosomal RNA". It matches the Rfam family "Bacterial small subunit ribosomal RNA", at positions 30 to 526 of the family's 1533-position model. The record is from RNAcentral.
AUUGAACGCUGGCGGCAGGCUUAACACAUGCAAGUCGAACGAGUGGCGGACGGGUGAGUAAUGCUUUGGUAUCUAGCUUAUGCGGGGGGAUCACUACGGGAAACUGUAGCUAAUACCGCGAUACUUAGCCUGAGCCCAAGUGGGUUUAGGUAGUGGGUGUGGUAAAGGCUCACCAAGCCGCCGAUCUCUAGCUGGUCUGAGAGGAUGACCAGCCACGCUGGGACUGAGGCACGGCCCAGACUCCUCCGGGAGGCAGCAGUGGUGAAUAUUGCGCUAUGGGGGAGACCUGACGCAGCCAUGCCGCGUGAAUGAAGAAGGCCUUCGGGUUGUAAAGUUCUUUCGGUAGCGAGGCGUUAACGACAGAAGCCGCACCGGCUAACUACGUGCCAGCAGCCGCGGUAAUUC